This 492-nucleotide ribosomal RNA is filed under the name uncultured bacterium. RNAcentral's name for it is "partial 16S ribosomal RNA". It matches the Rfam family "Bacterial small subunit ribosomal RNA", at positions 29 to 507 of the family's 1533-position model. The record is from RNAcentral.
AGUGAACGCUGGCGGUAGGCCUAACACAUGCAAGUCGAACGGCAGCACAGUAAGAGCUUGCUCUUACGGGUGGCGAGUGGCGGACGGGUGAGGAAUACAUCGGAAUCUACUUUUUCGUGGGGGAUAACGUAGGGAAACUUACGCUAAUACCGCAUACGACCUACGGGUGAAAGCAGGGGAUUUUCGGACCUUGCGCGAUUGAAUGAGCCGAUGUCGGAUUAGCUAGUUGGCGGGGUAAAGGCCCACCAAGGCGACGAUCCGUAGCUGAUCUGAGAGGAUGAUCAGCCACACUGGAACUGAGACACGGUCCAGACUCCUACGGGAGGCAGCAGUGGGGAAUGUUGGACAAUGGGCGCAAGCCUGAUCCAGCCAUGCCGCGUGGGUGAAGAAGGCCCUCGGGUUGUAAAGCCCUUUUGUUGGGGAAGAAAAGCAGCGGGUUAAAACACGGCUGUUCUGACGGUACCGAAAGAAUAAGCACCGGCUAACUUCGUG